Molecule: long non-coding RNA, 2642 nt
Organism: Vespula pensylvanica (western yellowjacket)
Lineage: Eukaryota; Metazoa; Arthropoda; Insecta; Hymenoptera; Vespidae
Exons: 2
Source: RefSeq, a predicted model, not a curated record
GAGAUAGAGACAGACGAAGAGAAAAAGAAAGAGAGAUAGAGAGAAAGAUGGUGUUCUUCUCAAAUAAUAAUAAAGAGAUUAUGAUGUUCUCUCAAGUAUGGACCAGAGGUCGACCGUGCCAGUGAAAACGAAUGAAAGUGCUAUUCUACUUAGGCAUACACGCAUAAUAACGUGCGACGUAUACAUACAUACAUACAUACAUGCAUACAUACAUACAUAUAUACAUGCAUACAUACCAAAGGACAGAGUAUUUCGUUCCUCGUACCUCACAUCGUAUAAUAUGAUAAUUAAUUGCGUCGUUUAGAUACAUGCCUACAUACAUACAUACAUACUUGCAUACAUACGUUACGUGACAAUCGAAAAACUUAUUUUUACAACAAUGCAAGCACUCGUACUCGUAGACUCAGGAGAAUGAUUCUUUCUUGGCUUUCUGUUUAAAAGAGAGAGAGAGAGAGAGAGAGAGAGGGAGAGAGAGAAGGAAAAAAUAAAGAAGAAGUAGAGAAAAGUAGAGGAAAUCGGAUAUAUUAUUAUAAAGAGAUCUUUUAAAAGGGAAUAAUAAGAAGAUGAGGUAGAAAAAAGAAAUAAAACUAAAGGUAAAAAUAAAGAUACAAAUAAAAAUAAAGUAAAAUAAAGUAAAGUAAAAUACAAAGAUGAAGAAGAAACAAAAGGAAAUAAUAGAUAUCUAACGAGAGUAAAGUAGCACCGUAGAGGAAAAGACGGAAUUAGAGGAAAGAAAGAGCGAGAGAGAGAGAGAGAGAGAGAGAGAGAGAAUAGAAUAGAGAAGAAAAUGGGAUAAGAGUCGAUAAAGAACGAGUAAGUAAAAAGGACGAUUAAAAGAGAAAAGAAUAAAGAAACUAGAAAAGAAAUUAGAAGAGAAAGUUCGAAGAGAUUCUUAUAAUCUCAUAUACAUAGAUAUCAUUUGGAAAAGGGACUCGAUUAUUAAAAUGAACAAAAUAAUAAUAACAAUAAUAAUAAUAAUAAUAAUAAUAAUAAUAAUAAUAAUAAUAAUAAUAAUAAUAAUAAUAAUAAUAGUCGACGUUGUUGUUACAUUCGUCGAAACGACUUAAAGAAAGCAGAUGAAGGAAAAGAAAAAGAAAAAGAAGAAGAAGAAGAAAAAGAAAAAGAAAAAGAAAAAGAAGAAGAGAGAGUUACCUCAACGUCCGUUCAAUGUGAUAUUUUGCAAUAUCCGAUAAUUAACUAGAUGUUGACUAGUCAGACUUUUAAGUAGGUAUAAUUUCAUUGAUUUUCAACAUGAAAACAGCCCUCUCAUUGUAGCCCAUUAAUUCAGGGAUACGAAUGGUGGGAGGGCCUGCAGCAGCAUAAGAUAUUGUGAUAUAAUUCUUCUAAUAUAUCUAUAAAGUUUUAUAUUCGUGUAAUAUCUCUCUCCGUUGACCUGUAUGGGUCACAACCAUAUAUAUUAUCCUUUCUCAAGGUGUUCGACCGGGAUAAAGGUACAUACGUACGUACAUACAUACAUAGAUACAUACAUACAUACAUACAAUAUAUGUAGAUAUGUAUGUAAAAGUUGUCCGUUGGGGGAAGAAACGUGGAGGAAACACGGGUUUCUCUUCGUGUCGGCGUUCAUUUCACGUUGGGCCGUCGUGCUUCUUCGAGAUAUACAUAUAAAAGAAAAGGAGAGAGAGAGAGAGAGAGAGAGAGAGAGAGAAAGGUCGAUAAAAGUAGGAUCGAUUGGAGGGUAUCGUGUCAUUCGAAUCGCGACGGUCCUAGUUUUAAGUUCAUUCCGAACUCUCUUUCUCUCUCUCUUUCUCUUUCUCUUUCUCUUUCUCUCUCUCUCUCUCUCUCUCUCCCUUUUUCUCUUCUCUCUUUCUCUCUCUCUCUCUCUCUCUCUCGCACAGCGGAUUCCGAGAAUCAAUUAAUGGUGACGCGGCGUAUGACUUCGCGUCACGUUAGCUCGCGUGACACCCGGUCGUCUUUCAAAUCGCAGUCGGUAAACGUACCUCCCAAAUGUGCACGGCGCAUAAUAUAUUCAAGGCGAUUGUGACCAACGCGCGAUUUCGAUUAUUUUCGUGGUCGGAAAGCGUGCAUGCAUUAUAAUACGUGUAUAAGGGUAUAUACCUACCUGGAGAUUAGGUACCUUAACUAAAUCUUUUUACAAAGAACGAGAGAGAGAGAGAGAGAGAGAGAGAGAGAGAGAGAGAGAGAGAGAGAGAGAGAGAGAGAGAGAGAGAGAGAAAGAGAGAGAGGAAAGAACGAAAUACAUAAAAUAAAACGAUUCGUAAGAGCCACGGGAAUGAUUAUCGAAACGAGGGAAAGUAAAAAAAGAAAAGACAAGAAGAAGAAAGAAAUAGAAAAAAAGAAAGAAAAGUUAAUAAGGGAAAAAGUAAUAAAAGCAUCUUCUUUCUCGCGUUUAAAUAAGUACAUAUACCAAUAUAUGUACUUACGCGUAUCGGGAAUUCGUAUAUUGUAAUUAUUCGUAAAAUAAAAUGAUAUAUAAGACUUUGAAAAAAUAAAAUAUGAAAAAUCGCGAGAGAUCAGUGGCUCGGCCUUUCGAUAGCGUCGCGGGCGCCGUAUUGUAUUUUUUGUAAGGCUCGUUUUGCCAGAUUGUGAUAGCCAAGUUCACGACUCCUUCGAAAAUAGCCGAAGUACCAGGUCGCGCGAAAAUGAUUAAACGAAAAGAAAAA